RNAcentral lists this non-coding RNA (46 nucleotides) under Schistosoma haematobium. Lineage: Eukaryota; Metazoa; Platyhelminthes; Trematoda; Strigeidida; Schistosomatidae. The record is from RNAcentral.
GCACUGCUGAGGAGUCCCACAAUAGGACGAAACGGCCUUCUAGUUU